AUGAACGCUGGCUACAGGCUUAACCCAUGCCAGUCGCGGGGAAACGACGGGGAAGCUUGCUUCCCCGGGCGUCGACCGGCGCACGGGUGAGUAACGCGUAUCCAACCUGCCUCUGACUGAGGGAUAACCCGUCGAAAGUCGGCCUAAUACCUCAUGGUAUCGUCUGCGGGCAUCCAACGACGAUUAAAGAUUUCAUCGGUCAGGGAUGGGGAUGCGUCUGAUUAGCUUGUUGGCGGGGUAACGGCCCACCAAGGCUACGAUCAGUAGGGGUUCUGAGAGGAAGGUCCCCCACAUUGGAACUGAGACACGGUCCAAACUCCUACGGGAGGCAGCAGUGAGGAAUAUUGGUCAAUGGGCGAGAGCCUGAACCAGCCAAGUAGCGUGCAGGAAGACGGCCCUAUGGGUUGUAAACUGCUUUUAUGCGGGGAUAAAGUGAGGGACGUGUCCCUCAUUGCAGGUACCGCAUGAAUAAGGACCGGCUAAUUCCGUG
RNAcentral lists this ribosomal RNA (490 nucleotides) under uncultured bacterium. RNAcentral's name for it is "partial 16S ribosomal RNA". It matches the Rfam family "Bacterial small subunit ribosomal RNA", at positions 29 to 507 of the family's 1533-position model. The record is from RNAcentral.